RNAcentral lists this ribosomal RNA (450 nucleotides) under uncultured bacterium. RNAcentral describes it as "partial 16S ribosomal RNA". It matches the Rfam family "Bacterial small subunit ribosomal RNA", at positions 354 to 796 of the family's 1533-position model. The record is from RNAcentral.
GUAGGGAAUCUUCGGCAAUGGACGAAAGUCUGACCGAGCAACGCCGCGUGAGUGAAGAAGGUUUUCGGAUCGUAAAACUCUGUUGUUAUAGAAGAAUGUUGAUUAGAGUGGAAAAUUAAUCAAGUGACGGUAUCUAACCAGAAAGGGACGGCUAACUACGUGCCAGCAGCCGCGGUAAUACGUAGGUCCCGAGCGUUGUCCGGAUUUAUUGGGCGUAAAGCGAGCGCAGGUGGUUUAAUAAGUCUGAUGUAAAAGGCAGUGGCUCAACCAUUGUGUGCAUUGGAAACUGUUAGACUUGAGUGCAGUAGAGGAGAGUGGAAUUCCAUGUGUAGCGGUGAAAUGCGUAGAUAUAUGGAGGAACACCGGUGGCGAAAGCGGCUCUCUGGACUGUCACUGACACUGAGGCUCGAAAGCGUGGGUAGCAAACAGGAUUAGAAACCCCGGUAGUCC